ACGUUUAUAAUAUUAUAGACGUCGGGGCACCCCACAACGGACGUCUAAAGGGCUGACAGGGUACUUUAAGAGUUUAUUUUUUCAGCCACUUAAAUGUCCGUUAGAGGGGCCUCGACGUUUAUAAUAUUAUAGACGUCGGGGCCCCCCCACAACGGACGUCUAAAGGGAUGACAGGGUAGGUGAGGAGUUAUUUUUUUCUACCCUUUAGGCGUCUGUUGUGGGGGGGCCCUGAUGUCUAUAAUAUUAUAAACGUCGGGGCCCCUCUAACGGACGUCUAAAUGCCCCGCGAAUAUGAAUAUUUAAAUCAGAAAGACGUCAGAUUAGUUAGAGCCCCGACGUCUACUGCCAUUUAUACUAAAAUCGCGAACUCGCGAGGAGUUACGCUCACUGUUCAUCGUCUUCCCCACGUUUUUUCUCUGCGGCAUUGCAUUUCCAAGUGCGUUUUCUCUCUUUUGGGCCUAUUAAAUUUACUUUUACUCCGAUUAAAUUACUCUUUGAUGAAAUAUCUUUUAUUUGAACCGAUUAAAAAUCGUUUUCGGUGCGUUUUGGUGCAGUUUCUGGCAUGUUCUUGGGCGACGUUUUUUACUCUUUUUAGCCUACAUUUUAGGUCGUGCACUCCUCCAUUUCCCUUGAUUUCUUUUUGAAUCUGUUAAAAAUGUUAGCUUCUUUGUUGGUAAUUUUUUUGUAUGCAUGUUAUUGGCUUUUGUGUUUACAUUUUAUUGGCUUUUGUCUAUGCAUGUUUUUUACUUUAAGGUCUGCAUGUGUUAUUGGCUUUUGAAUAUGCAUGUGAUAGUUGUGUUUUUAUAAUUGGCAUGUUAGAUUAUAAGUAUCAAAUCAUUGAGUGAAACUUAGUUCCCGUUUGAAAUUUAACACAAACGAUUAAUCUUUUAAUCGUUUGCAUUAAAUUUUGAAUUGUCCGAUUGGACAAUUUGAGAAAAUUAUUUUUCAUAAUUUGCAAUAACAUGUACGUUGGAGUUUAUGGAUAAGAUUGAUAAAAUUUCGGUUCAAUAUUUGUUGUUCUCCGGAUGCAUAUUUGAUUGUGGUCAUCCUUGACUACUCUCAUUUCGUGUAUUUCGGAGACCAAUGCGAAAUGCUGCCGAAAUCUUAUCAAAUUUAUGAUGUAGACUUCUUUGCACGUGUCUUAGCAAAUUAUGAAAAAUAAUUUUUUUGAAUGGGUAGGGCCUAACCUUGUGAGAGUUAAAAACCUAAACUGAUGAUUUUACGAACAUAGUAUGGAUCGAAGCUGGAUGAAUGAACGUCGCAUCAGUAAAGAAUAUGAUAAGGGUGUUUCGGAGUUCUUGCAAUACGUUGAACAAAAUGCUAAGUCUGUGAACGGGACAUACUUUUGUCCUUGUGUUCGUUGUCUUAAUCAAAUACGGCAAGACUUAGGCAAUGUGCGUGACCAUCUAUUCAUGUUUGGCAUAAUGAGGACUUAUAACGUUUGGAAUUGGCAUAGUGGACCAGCCUACCACGUCACAAGGAACGAAUUAUGUGGAAGAAUGGAUGAGUGAUCAUUUAGAGGACAUGAUGCGUGAUGUCGGUGAAGAUAAUUUUGGAAGAGCUAAUUUGUAUGAUUCUCUUAUAAAUGAUUGACGAGAACAAGAACAAAAAGAAAUACAAAGAGCGCUUGAAGAGAAGCUGCAUUCCAUGACGUAGGGCAACAUGGGGCCCGCUGAAACUCCCACACCACCUCGUGUCAACACUAGAGGAUCAUGCUCUGCUGUAGAACCUACUCAGUAUAGCAGUCAGUAUGAGCUAUUGGUUGAUGGGGAUCCCCCACGCAUUGUGGCUGUCAGACGAGUGCUUGAGGGAGGGCAAACUAUUCAUGGUGUUCCCAUAUUACCCCACCACGUGCGUGUGAUGAUUGAUGAGGUUCGGGAUCCCCAGGCUUAGGUGCCUGUACCCACUCUAGAAAUUAAUUUUGUGAGGGAGGCCAUAGGAUCAUUUAUAGCCUGGCCUAGAGCAUUGAUCAUGUCACACAUCGCUACUCCACAGUUCACACAUCCUCAGAAGCAGUCGAUUCAUGAUACAGUCAUACAUGAAGAUGAUGACAUGGCUGAAGCGGAGGAUGAUCCUCUAUCAAAGCUAAUGACAAGAUUACCCAGGUUGAAGAGAGCAUCAUUAGAACUAUACUGAGAUUUUAGAGUAUUUGGUCUUCCCCCCAUGUGCCAGUAUAUAUCACAUUGCCUGAUGCAUUGCAGGUACAUGGACACAAUCGUUGUAGACCAAGGUUGGUCUUCCAUGUACAGAUUUGUUGAACCUCAUACCAUUCAACCUUCUGGUAACACACUUGAAAACAGACAACAUUAUUUGCAAACAUGGAUGGAUGAGUCAAAAAGAGACGUAUACCUUGUGUCAUACAUUGAUGGGUCGUACUGGCAGCUGAUGGUCAUCAUUCCCAAACAAUGUAAAUUAUAUGGUUUUGUUCGUUGCACAAGAAGAUGAAAAAUGACUUGAGAACCAUGUUUCAAGGAGUUAUUGGAAAAUCUCGAAGUCAACUAGUUCAAAUUUUGUAUCCAAAGUGUAACCAGCGGCUAGAUUCAUGGGAAUGUAGCUUCUAUGUCAUGUGUUGGAUUAAAACCAUCAUUCCAGCUGUCAUUACAGAUGACUGGAAUGAGUGCUUCAAGAGUACAUCUCCUAUACUAGAGGACAUAAUUAGGCAGAUAAGGUAGGAGUGGACAACUUAUCUUCUGGAAAGAUGGAGCUAGGAACACUUUUAUUUGUUGUUGAACAUUGCUUAGGUUUAGUUUAAGUUUAUAUCUUGAUAGUUUUGGUAUUGGAUUAUUUUUUACAUUAAGUAGAACUUUCUUUAUAUGAAACGCAUAUAUAUAUUAUACUAUAUUGUUCUAUGACAAUUUUCUGCUUUUUAGGUGUGGUUUUAUUGCAAAAAUAAAUUAAUUUAAAAAAAAAAAAACACCCAAUAGACGUCGGUUAGUGCACUAACGGACAUCUAUAGACGUUUGGCAGUGCCCAAACCGACGUCCAACCCCUAAACCCUAAACAAACCGUUUCAGGCCUAUGGAUGUCGGGGGGUGGUAACAUCCAAUGUCUACACAAACGUCGGUUAUAUCCCUUGGACGUCUACAUAGACGUCGGGGGUAUACCUCGAACGUCUAGAUAGACGUCGGGUCUGACCACAUCUGACGUCUAUACAGACGUCCGAGGUAUACCCCCGAUGUUUGAGUAACGUCACCCACAAAGACGUCGGGUACAGGUCGGACAUCG
Vigna angularis (adzuki bean) is the source of this 3225-nucleotide long non-coding RNA. RefSeq lists it as uncharacterized. NCBI's taxonomy places the organism in Eukaryota, Viridiplantae, Streptophyta, Magnoliopsida, Fabales, Fabaceae. The record is from RefSeq and is a predicted model, not a curated record. The transcript is spliced from 7 exons.